This 274-nucleotide ribosomal RNA is filed under the name uncultured bacterium. RNAcentral's name for it is "partial 16S ribosomal RNA". It matches the Rfam family "Bacterial small subunit ribosomal RNA", at positions 523 to 796 of the family's 1533-position model. The record is from RNAcentral.
AUACGGAGGGUGCGAGCGUUGUUCGGAAUUACUGGGCGUAAAGGGCGCGCAGGCGGCUUGAUAAGUCAGAUGUGAAAGCCCACGGCUCAACCGUGGAAGUGCAUCUGAAACUGUCUGGCUUGAGUACUGGAGAGGAAGGUGGAAUUCCUGGUGUAGAGGUGAAAUUCGUAGAUAUCAGGAGGAACACCGGUGGCGAAGGCGACUUUCUGGACAGAUACUGACGCUGAGGCGCGAAAGCGUGGGGAGCAAACAGGAUUAGAAACCCCAGUAGUCC